UAGGGAAUCUUCCUCAAUGGGCGAAAGCCGGACGGAGCAACGCCGCGUGAGUGAUGAAGGUCUUCGGAUCGUAAAACUCUGUUAUUAGGGAAGCACAAAUGUGUAAGUAACUAUGCACGUCUUGACGGUACCUAAUCAGAAAGCCACGGCUAACUACGUGCCAGCAGCCGCGGUAAUACGUAGGUGGCAAGCGUUAUCCGGAAUUAUUGGGCGUAAAGCGCGCGUAGGCGGUUUUUUAAGUCUGAUGUGAAAGCCCACGGCUCAACCGUGGAGGGGCAUUGGAGACUGGAAAACUUGAGUGCAGUAGAGGAAAGUGGAAGUCCAUGUGUAGCGGUGAAAUGCGCAGAGAUAUGGAGGAUCUCCAGUGGCGAAGGCGACUUUCUGGUCUGUAACUGACGCUGAUGUGCGAAAGCGUGGGGAUCAAACAGG
This 429-nucleotide ribosomal RNA is filed under the name Actinomycetes bacterium. RNAcentral's name for it is "Actinobacteria bacterium partial 16S ribosomal RNA". It matches the Rfam family "Bacterial small subunit ribosomal RNA", at positions 355 to 776 of the family's 1533-position model. Lineage: Bacteria; Bacillati; Actinomycetota; Actinomycetes. The record is from RNAcentral.